ACGGGGCGCAGCAGGCGCGAAACCUCCGCAAUGUGAGCAAUCGCGACGGGGGGACCCCAAGUGCCAUUCUUAACGGGAUGGCUUUUCUUGAGUGUAAAAAGCUCUUGGAAUAAGAGCUGGGCAAGACCGGUGCCAGCCGCCGCGGUAACACCGGCAGCCCUAGUGGUAGCCAUUUUUAUUGGGCCUAAAGCGUUCGUAGCCGGUUUAAUAAGUCUCUGGUGAAAUCCUACAGCUUAACUGUGGGAAUUGCUGGAGAUACUAUUAGACUUGAGGUCGGGAGAGGUUAGAGGUACUCCCGGGGUAGGGGUGAAAUCCUGUAAUCCCGGGAGGACCACCUGUGGCGAAGGCGUCUAACUGGAACGAACCUGACGGUGAGGGACGAAAGCUAGGGGCGCGAACCGGAUUAGAUACCCGGGUAGUCCUAGCCGUAAACGAUGCGGACUUGGUGUUAGGAUGGCUUUGAGCCGCCCUAGUGCCGAAGGGAAGCUGUUAAGUCCGCCGCCU
This 504-nucleotide ribosomal RNA is filed under the name uncultured archaeon. RNAcentral's name for it is "bacterial SSU rRNA". It matches the Rfam family "Archaeal small subunit ribosomal RNA", at positions 325 to 829 of the family's 1478-position model. The record is from RNAcentral.